AUAUAUAAUCUUGCUUAGUGGUUCUUAUGUCAAUAAGCCUCAUAUUCCAUUGAGUCAUUGACUAUGAUUUCUCUCUUUGAAAUAGCUCUACUAUCAUCUUGAUGUGUUAAUAUGUUAGUCUUAAAUUUUUGUUUACUUUACAGAUUGGAGAUAAGAAUUGCUGGAGUAAUAACGAAGUUUAUUACUGCAUCAUUGUUUAUGUGGAUAGCUCAUGUUGCAAUAUUGUAUGGCUAUAACAACAAUUUGAUUCCUGGGAAGAAAUAAAUGGUCACGCACUAGAUGAAUUUAACAUUUAGUCAGAUGGGAUGCCAGUUCUUGAUACAAAGGAGGGAUUCAUAAAUGAGAGGUGGACUUUGUUUUAUGAUAUGUAUUUGUAUUCUCAUCUAGGAUGUCAGAAAUGAAGCCUGUCAGGAGGCCAAGGCUAAGGAGAGAGAUUGAACAACUGCCACAUCAACAACAAUGUAAACAUCCAAGCGCCUGAAGAUCUACCACGAGUGCCUACUGCAGUUCAUUACCGAUUAGAUCUGGAUCAAGAAGAAUAGAAAACUAGCCAAGUGUAAAAGAACUUUUCUUACAGUACAAUAGAGCUUUAUUGUAGUUCAUGAAUCAUGACUAAAAUUAAUUUGUUUUAUUCUUUUUGUCAAACUAUUAUCCAUAAUAAAAAAAUGGCAUUCAUUAUUUUUGUGUAAUUUUUUUAUUCUAAUAAAUAAUUUAGUGUGGAAAUUUUACGGUCA
Molecule: long non-coding RNA, 734 nt
Organism: Argentina anserina (silverweed cinquefoil)
Lineage: Eukaryota; Viridiplantae; Streptophyta; Magnoliopsida; Rosales; Rosaceae
Exons: 4
Source: RefSeq, a predicted model, not a curated record